RNAcentral lists this ribosomal RNA (444 nucleotides) under uncultured bacterium. RNAcentral's name for it is "bacterial SSU rRNA". It matches the Rfam family "Bacterial small subunit ribosomal RNA", at positions 331 to 792 of the family's 1533-position model. The record is from RNAcentral.
CCAGACUCCUACGGGAGGCAGCAGUGGGGGAUAUUGCACAAUGGGGGGAACCCUGAUGCAGCGACGCCGCGUGGGCGAUGGAGUGCUUCGGCAUGUAAAGCCCUAUCAGCAGGGAAGAAAAUGACGGUACCUGACUAAGAAGCCCCGGCUAAAUACGUGCCAGCGGCCGCGGUAAUACGUAUGGGGCAAGCGUUAUCCGGAUUUACUGGGUGUAAAGGGAGCGUAGACGGCAGUGCAAGUCUGGAGUGAAAGGCGGGGGCUCAACCCCCGGACUGCUCUGGAAACUGUACGGCUGGAGUGCAGGAGAGGUAAGUGGAAUUCCUAGUGUAGCGGUGAAAUGCGUAGAUAUUAGGAGGAACACCAGUGGCGAAGGCGGCCUGCUGGACGGUAACUGACGCUGAGGCUCGAAAGCGUGGGGAGCAAACAGGAUUAGAUACCCUGGUA